AAAUCAUGUUGAGGGCAACUUCUUAGCAAGCCCUUGUAUCUCUCCCAAGCUACAUACAAUUGCUCUCCUACCUCUUGUUGAAAGGUAGCAAUCUUAUUUUUGAGCUU
Lactuca sativa (garden lettuce) is the source of this 107-nucleotide small nucleolar RNA. The record is from RefSeq and is a predicted model, not a curated record. NCBI's taxonomy places the organism in Eukaryota, Viridiplantae, Streptophyta, Magnoliopsida, Asterales, Asteraceae.